AUUGAACGCUGGCGGCAGGCCUAACACAUGCAAGUCGAGCGGAUGAAGGGAGCUUGCUCCUGGAUUCAGCGGCGGACGGGUGAGUAAUGCCUAGGAAUCUGCCUGGUAGUGGGGGAUAACGUCCGGAAACGGGCGCUAAUACCGCAUACGUCCUGAGGGAGAAGGUGGGGGAUCUUCGGACCUCACGCUAUCAGAUGAGCCUAGGUCGGAUUAGCUAGUUGGUGGGGUAAAGGCCUACCAAGGCGACGAUCCGUAACUGGUCUGAGAGGAUGAUCAGUCACACUGGAACUGAGACACGGUCCAGACUCCUACGGGAGGCAGCAGUGGGGAAUAUUGGACAAUGGGCGAAAGCCUGAUCCAGCCAUGCCGCGUGUGUGAAGAAGGUCUUCGGAUUGUAAAGCACUUUAAGUUGGGAGGAAGGGCAGUAAGUUAAUACCUUGCUGUUUUGACGGUACCAACAGAAUAAGCACCGGCUAACUUCGUG
This 484-nucleotide ribosomal RNA is filed under the name uncultured bacterium. RNAcentral's name for it is "partial 16S ribosomal RNA". It matches the Rfam family "Bacterial small subunit ribosomal RNA", at positions 30 to 507 of the family's 1533-position model. The record is from RNAcentral.